This 355-nucleotide transfer-messenger RNA is filed under the name Longimicrobiales. Its description in RNAcentral is "Bin94 sp009838975 Standard tmRNA". It matches the Rfam family "transfer-messenger RNA". Rfam says of the family: Bacterial tmRNA, also known as 10Sa RNA or SsrA, is named for its dual tRNA and mRNA-like properties. Its role is to liberate the mRNA from a stalled ribosome. To accomplish this part of the tmRNA is used as a reading frame that ends in a translation stop signal. RNAcentral also lists the same sequence under 1 other name. Lineage: Bacteria; Pseudomonadati; Gemmatimonadota; Longimicrobiia. The record is from RNAcentral.
GGGGGCGAAACGGCUUCGACGUGUCUGGCGAGUUCGAGGCUGCGUGCCGAGGUCCGGGGACCUCGCAAAACUCCGGAAACGUUACAAAUGCCAACACUGACUUGGCCUUGGCCGCUUAACCAACAAGCAGCCCGCUUCCCGCUCUGCCCGCCCGAGGCGGGGCGAAGAGGCGUCGACAAUUCGGGCUGGUCCACCGAUCCCUGCCGCCGGAUCGGAGGACGAGACGACCGGUGGCUAGCCCGGGCAGGGCUGUUCGCCGUCCCUCCCGGUAGUGAACCCCAGCGGUGAUCUACGCACGUAGACGUCUUGAAGGACCCAUUCGCGGACGCGGGUUCGACUCCCGCCGCCUCCACUU